Long non-coding RNA from Symphalangus syndactylus (siamang), 950 nucleotides. RefSeq lists it as uncharacterized. The record is from RefSeq and is a predicted model, not a curated record. NCBI's taxonomy places the organism in Eukaryota, Metazoa, Chordata, Mammalia, Primates, Hylobatidae.
AUAGUGAGAGAAGCAGCAGUCAGCGAUUCGAGGUUCGGCAGUUGGCAAUCAGCAGGUGGCAUUGGUAAAUGGCUGGUUGGCAGUCAGUGGUAGGGAAGUUGGCAGGAUGGCAGUAAGCAAGACGGCAAGAAAAAGCGAUCUGCAGCACGACAAGCUGGGAGACGAUGAGAGGUGGUGAAGCAGAGCUGUUAAUACCUAAAAGCUAAAACACCAACCAAAGGCUCUUUUCAGAGCCAUCGUUUUCCUUGGCCAACAGGGGAACUGAGCAGACAGGCAAGCAGCCAUAGUGCCACUGUUUCGUGUGAGACUUGUAGUUCUGAUCAGCAGGUGGGUGGGUAACCAGCCCCUGUGCCAGCCUCUCUCACCACUGCAGCUGAGCCCAUCAGCAGCCAUAGUGCCACUGCCUCGUGUGAAACACGCUGCUCCAGCUGGCAGACUGGUGGAUUACAGUCUCCAUGCUGGCAUCUCUCACCAUGGCAGCUAAUCCCACCCAAGCUGAGGGAUCCUGGAGAGAUCAUCAUGCAGAUUUCCAUGUGGAAUAUUGUCAGUACCAUUUGGCUCUGGUGGAUGGAACACGUGUUGUAGAGAAGCCAGUCUCUAUAUAACAAUCCUGACUACUCUGAGAUUUUCAUGCUGUGCAGAAGACCAAGCCGACUGUAUGACAAAGAAAUGUCAAGAAAAAGAGCUGAUCAACCAAUUCGGAAUCAUUGCCGCCUUCCCAGAUGAGGUCCCAGAUGCUUGAACUGGUCCAGCUCAUCCAAAUUUCUGACCAUUCUAGACCCAACUGACAUUUGAUAGCAACUACAUGUGAUAUUUGGAGCAAGAACUUCUGUCUGAGCCCAAUAUACUCAAAGAUCAAUGACAGACAAUAACAUGGUGAUGUUUUAAAAUAUCCAGGCAUGGAAUUUCUCGUUAAUGUAAUAUUAAACAACAAAAGGAAUGAAUUACAA